RNAcentral lists this ribosomal RNA (199 nucleotides) under uncultured bacterium. RNAcentral describes it as "partial 16S ribosomal RNA". It matches the Rfam family "Bacterial small subunit ribosomal RNA", at positions 357 to 542 of the family's 1533-position model. The record is from RNAcentral.
GGGAAUAUUGGACAAUGGGGGGAANCCUGAUCCAGCCAUGCCGCGUGUGUGAAGAAGGCCUUAUGGUUGUAAAGCACUUUAAGCGAGGAGGAGGCUCCUAUAGAUAAUACCUAUAGUGAGUGGACGUUACUCGCNAGAAUAAGCACCGGCUAACUCUGUGCCAGCAGCCGCGUAAUAAGCUUGAUUCGCCCGGUCCAGG